Molecule: long non-coding RNA, 1196 nt
Organism: Leptinotarsa decemlineata (Colorado potato beetle)
Lineage: Eukaryota; Metazoa; Arthropoda; Insecta; Coleoptera; Chrysomelidae
Source: RefSeq, a predicted model, not a curated record
AAUUGUUGUCAAUAAUUAAAGAUUCAUGUUCAAAAAGAAAUACCACCAUGAGGGAAAGCAUACCAGUAGAAGAAAAGCUUCUUAUAACUUCAAGCAAAAUAGCAUUUGAAAUAAUUGGGUUAUAUCCGUAUCUUGGGAAUACGAGCUUCCAGGCGACAUCAAAGGGGAUUCAGUACUCUGCCGCUGAAUCCCAGAAGGCCCAGCUUGGGGCUCUUGUUGUGAAGGACUUUGGUUAAAGUCUGGAAGUCCGGAAGGUCCAGCAUGUGGAUUUAAAUAUUGCCAUUGAUGUAGUAUUCCAGAUUGGUGGUUUGGAGCCUGGGUGGGAAUUUGGUUAUACGGUAAUUGUUGUGAGUAUACAGAGGGGGCUGGUGACUGUAUGGAAUUAUAUUUAUUUAUGCUUUGCAUAAUGUCCAUUCUCGCAGCAAAUUUAAAGUGUGGGGGAAUGGAUUUCAUAAAAGGCACUAAUAAUAACAAAAAUAAUCUAUCGUCGUCUUCUUCAGAAUUUACUGUUUGUGCUUUUUGUUUUUGACGAAUACUAUGAUUAUCAAGGGCCUCCACAAGUUUUUUUCCAGUGUGUUUCCUUUUCUUUUUUUUGGCGACAUGAACAGUAGGAGAGUCAUCAUGUAUUGUAGCAGGACUUUCUGACGCAGAUUCACUCUGACUGUUUGGUGAUAGAGGAGCCCCAUCAUCCAUAGAUGUAUCUGUGGAGCGACGUUGGAUUACAUCUGACAAAAAGCCCAAUUGGUUGGCGUACAUAUAGGAACUUUUGACUUUUCGUCCUUGUCCUGACUUUUAUUUAUUUUCUUUAAGUUCCCUGACGUACCUAUCCCUUAUGUUUUUCCAUUUUUUUUGAAGCAAAAUGCCUGAAAAAAAGCUUUAUUUGAUAAGUACCCUUUUAUUUCAGGUACCUAGCUACUGGCAAUUCAUUUGUCGAUUUGCACUAUGCUUUUAGAAUUGGAAAAUCCACAGCAAGUUUAAUCACCCAAGAAGUUUGUGAAGCUAUAUGGACACAUGCUAGACAUAUAACUUUUCCGUCGUUAACUACUGAAAAAUGGCUCGAAAUAGCCGAAGGAUUUAAGAAACAUGCAGAUUUUCCACAUUGCAUAGGAGCCAUCGAUGGAAAACAUAUAAGGAUGAUAAAACCUGCUAAUAGCGGCUCUAUGUUCUACAACUAUAAAAAUUAUUUUUCAAUGGUA